GACAGAGGUGCCAAGCGUUAGGCGGAAUCACUGGGCUUAAAGCGUGUGUAGGUGGAUGCCUAAGUACCUUGUGAAAUCCCACGGCUCACCCGUGGAACUGCUGGGUAUACUGGGUGUCUUGAGCCACUUAGGGGUCGCUGGAACAAACGGUGGAGCGGUGUAAUGCGUAGAUAUCGUUUGGAACGCCAAUGGUGAAAACAGGCGACUGGGAGUGUGCUGACACUGAGACACGAAAGCCAGGGGAGCGAACGGG
Molecule: ribosomal RNA, 253 nt
Filed under: uncultured bacterium
Lineage: Bacteria
Description: partial 16S ribosomal RNA
Rfam family: Bacterial small subunit ribosomal RNA
Source: RNAcentral